Molecule: long non-coding RNA, 433 nt
Organism: Haliotis rubra (blacklip abalone)
Lineage: Eukaryota; Metazoa; Mollusca; Gastropoda; Lepetellida; Haliotidae
Exons: 3
Source: RefSeq, a predicted model, not a curated record
ACAAUGCACAGCCAAUACGAGGUGCUCCGUGUGUGUGGCGCGUAUAUAGUACUAUAUAUUUGCGUCUAUCUACAUGUAUUACACUGUACUACUUUUCAUCUGCUUUGACUAAAGCUACACACUAAAAACUGUAAACAAAAAAAAAUUCCACAUCAAGCUGAGACGCUCUGGUGUAACUGAAGUAACACAUUCCUACACUAGCUAAUAUGAAUCUGAAAUUUGUUUUGAAAUGAAUUUAAGGCAAAAUGUAUUUUCAAUUUAUCGGCUGACAAAAUAUUAACAUUACAGGUGUAUGCAUACCGUAACAUUACAUGUGUAUGUAUACUGUAACAUUACAGGUGUAUGCAUACCGUAACAAUACAGGUGUAUGCAUACCGUAACAUUACAGGUGUAUGCAUACCGUAAUAUUACAGGUGUAUGUAUACUGUAACAU